Molecule: transfer RNA, 72 nt
Organism: Phytophthora infestans T30-4
Lineage: Eukaryota; Oomycota; Peronosporomycetes; Peronosporales; Peronosporaceae
Rfam family: tRNA
About the family: Transfer RNA (tRNA) molecules are approximately 80 nucleotides in length. Their secondary structure includes four short double-helical elements and three loops (D, anti-codon, and T loops).
Source: Rfam
GGCCUCGUGGUCAAGUGGUAUGCUCUUAGUUUCGGGUGCGAGAGGUCCCGGGUUCGAUUCCCGGUGAGGCCC